RNAcentral lists this ribosomal RNA (493 nucleotides) under uncultured bacterium. RNAcentral's name for it is "bacterial SSU rRNA". It matches the Rfam family "Bacterial small subunit ribosomal RNA", at positions 26 to 507 of the family's 1533-position model. The record is from RNAcentral.
GAGAUUGAACGCUUAAGCGGCAGGGCCUUAACACAUUGCAAGUCGAGGGGGUAGAGUUCUUCGGGGACUUUGAGAACCGGCGCACGGGUGCGUAACGCGUAUGCAAUCUACCUUAUACAGGGGGAAUUAGCCCCAGAGAAAUUUGGAUUAAUGCCCCAUAGUAUUAUGAAAUCGCAUGGUUUUAUAAUUAAAGUUCCAACGGUAUAAGAUGAGCAUGCGUCCCAUUAGUUAGUUGGUAAGGUAACGGCUUACCAAGACAAUGAUGGGUAGGGGUCCUGAGAGGGAGAUCCCCCACACUGGUACUGAGACACGGACCAGACUCCUACGGGAGGCAGCAGUGAGGAAUAUUGGUCAAUGGUCGCAAGACUGAACCAGCCAUGCCGCGUGCAGGAAGACGGUCCUAUGGAUUGUAAACUGCUUUUAUACAGGAAGAAACCCUCCCACGUGUGGGAGCUUGACGGUACUGUAGGAAUAAGGAUCGGCUAACUCCGUG